RNAcentral lists this unclassified non-coding RNA (147 nucleotides) under soil metagenome. Its description in RNAcentral is "partial internal transcribed spacer 1". The record is from RNAcentral.
UAAUAAGUGUUUUAUUGGCACUUUUUAAAUCCAUAUCCCACCUUGUGUGCAAUGUCAGUCGAUCUUCUUCAUGGAGAUCGACCAAACAUCAACCUUUAUCUUUUAACUCUUUGUCUGAAAAAUAUUAUGAAUAAACAAUUCAAAAUA